GGAGGGUGCGAGCGUUGUUCGGAUUUAUUGGGCGUAAAGCGCGUGUAGGCGGCUUCUUAAGUCUGAUGUGAAAGCCCUGGGCUCAACCCGGGAAGUGCAUUGGAAACUGGGGAACUUGAAUACGGGAGAGGGUAGUGGAAUUCCUGGUGUAGGAGUGAAAUCCGUAGAUAUCAGGAGGAACACCGGUGGCGAAGGCGGCUACCUGGACCGAUAUUGACGCUGAGACGCGAAAGCGUGGGGAGCAAACAGGAUUAGAUACCCUGGUAGUCCACGCCGUAAACGAUGAGUACUAGGUGUUGCGGGUAUUGACCCCUGCAGUGCCGCAGCUAACGCAUUAAGUACUCCGCCUGGGAAGUACGGUCGCAAGACUA
This 371-nucleotide ribosomal RNA is filed under the name uncultured bacterium. RNAcentral describes it as "bacterial SSU rRNA". It matches the Rfam family "Bacterial small subunit ribosomal RNA", at positions 527 to 896 of the family's 1533-position model. The record is from RNAcentral.